CAACUCUCGCAUUUUCCACGUUUGAAAGAAAUAUGGCAUGGCCAAGCACUGCCUGUCAGCUUCUUCAACAAUUUAUUCGACCUGGUGGUGGAUGACUGCACGAAUAUGUCGAGUGCUAUUCCUGCUAAUCUGCUACGGUGCUUGAACAAUUUGGUAUACCUGGAAGUGAGGAAUUGUGAUUCACUUGAAGAGGUGCUUCAUUUGGAAGAGCUAAUUAAUGCUGACAAAGAACAUAUAGGCCCCCUGUUUCCUAAGCUUUUCAAGCUAGGGCUCACUGACCUUCCAAAACUCAAAAGAUUUUUCAACUUCACUAGGAAUAUAAUUGAACUGCCUAAGUUGAGAUAUCUAACUAUUGAGAAUUGCCCUGAUAUGGAAACAUUCAUAUCCAAUUCUACAUCUGUACUGCACAUGACAGCAGAUAAUAAGGAAGCUCAAAAAUUAAAAUCAGAAAAGAACCUCUUGGUAGCUGAUCAAAUACAACAUCUCUUCAAUGAAAAGGUAAUCAUUAUUAUUAUUUUUCCCUUCACUUUCAUUCGCACAGAUGUAAUUUCAUUAGAAUCAAAUCAAAUUUAAUGACUCAUCUUUUUACAUGUCGUCUUAAUUUAUAUCUGAUUUAACAAUAUAACCUCCGUUAUUAACUAACUUUAUAGUAUGAAUUAUAAAAAUGUCUUAAAUUAUUUCGAUGACUGGUAACAUGAGGUGAUGAACUAUAUUUCAAUUAUGCUUGUCGCAUCUCUGUUUUCCUAGCUAAUUCAUUUGGAUUUAGUAUCAGAUUUCAUUUAUGUGUUUCAAAGGGUAAUCGAUUUGAUACUUAUAUUUGGGAUCCUACUGCAAAGCAUACUAAUUUGGAAAAAAAAAUAUAAAAUGCUGUGAUUAAUCUUGUCCAUAAAAUAUGCAGGGGAAGACUGCAGAGAUUGGAUACAUAUUUUAAUUUACAACUUAAUUUUGUUGAUUUUCAGGUUGCAUUCCCUAAAUUGAGGGAGUUAAAGCUGUCUAAAUUACACAAAGUGCAGCAUCUCUGGAAGGAAAAUGACGAAUCCAACAAAGCGUUUGCAAACUUGGGAAGUCUAGAAAUAUCAGAAUGUAGUAAGUUACAAAAAUUAGUACCACCUUCGUGGCAUUUGGAAAAUCUGUGGGGACUACAAGUAUCGAAGUGUCACGGGUUGAUAAAUGCGUUGACGCUCUCAGCAUCUAAAAAUCUAGUGAAUCUUCAAAGAAUAAAGAUAGCUGAUUGCAAAAUGAUAGAAGAAAUCAUACAAUCGCAGGUUGGAGAAAAAACGAAAGAUUGCAUUGUUUUCAAGGAAUUAAAGUACUUGGAACUUGAUUGUUUGCCAAUCCUAACAAGCUUUUGUUUGGGUAAUUACGCUCUUGAAUUCCCGUCCUUGAAACAAGUAGUUGUGAGACAGUGUCCAAAAAUGAAGAUCUUCUCUCAAGGAGUCUUAGACACACCAAUGCUAAACAAAGUGAACGUCACCGAAGAAGAAAAAGAUGAUGAUGAAGGAUGUGGGGAAGGCAACCUCAAUGACACCAUAAAAAAAUUGUUCAAUGAAAUGGUGAGUAUCAAUUAAGUUUUGGUGCUAUUUAGAUAAAAUAAGAAGAGCUUACUAGGUGCAUUUGAUCAACAAUCCAAUCCUCAACGAUGGAAUCGAUGCCAUCAAAUAAACAUGACUUAAUCUUGAAACCACAAACUGCACUAAGCAUAGCACCAAAGCCAGAGCGUGACUAUAAAGAAGAAGAAAAAAGAAGGCAAAGAAGAAUUAAAUUAACAUGAAAUUCAACUGGAACAAUACAAAAUAUGAAAUUUUUAGCAAUCUUACGAGCAUUAUACACAAAUCUCAAUUCACGACAAAUAGGGGAAUGAAUCACUAACAUCACCCAAUUCGUAUAUUCAAAUAAUGUAUCCCCACUCCUAACAAGCAACGUGCUACCACAGUCGAUUAGUUGUUAGGGUUAAGGCUUACCAUAGAGAACUGGAUGGCGCUAACUAAAUGACAAGUUGAAACGGCAUCUGCAAUCGUAUUGAAUGACAUUGAACCGCGAGGUAGGGUUUAAAUGAAUACCGGGCAGAGAUAAAUUGGUGUGGUGAAUUAGGGUUUUGUGGCUACGUUUUAUUUCGAUUGAAAAAAGGAAUUUGAGCCAGGCUUUAAUAUGUAAAUUUUCGCUUAGUUGAAACAGAGGAAAGCUUUUGGGUUAUUAAAGUGAAAGAUAUGGAAUAAUACAAAAAAUUAUUGAAGUGAAAGAACAGGAAUACAAAAAAUCAGCAGAUGAGAUCGUUGAAAGAUGCGGACUGCUGUACGGCCAAGGCGGAUGUACGGUACAGCAGUGAUGGUCAUUUUGAAUCGACCGUUGAUUAAAAAAAUUCCUCAAAUAUUCACUCUAUAACAGUCCCAUGUUGAUGGCGUUGGGAAGUGUUUUCCAGAAAUGUUUUCCAUUUUUAAAAGCAUGAAUAUCGGGAAAAAAAAAUGGGAAAUACAGCGUUUUAGUUUAGUUAUUUUAAAAAUAGGCAUGUUUGAAAAUUAAAAUUUUUUAAAAACUAGCAUCAAGAUGAAAAAUGAAUUUAUAAUAUUUAAAAAUUAGCUGAAAUUCUUUCUCCGUUCCUAAUACUAAAUAGUGUAAAUGCAUUUUCAUUAUCUUUGUUUUUCUGGACUUCUAUUUAUUUAUUUUUGUUUUAAUUUUUUCCUUUUUUUCUUUAACAAAAAAUAUCUAGUAGACAUUCAUGGUUUGUUAUUUUUCAUAAAACAAUUGUAUGAUUUUGACAUACUUUGAAUCUAGUUGAAUGCUACUCUUUAUUUUCAGGUUGGAAUUCCCAAUAGUCUAGUGAAUCUUAAUGUAUCACUCUGUGAAAAAAUAGAAGAAAUCAUAGGACAUGUUGGAGAAGAAGCGAAGGAGAAUCGUAUUGCUUUCAGCGAAUUAAAACUUUUGGAACUUGAUUAUUUACCAAGGCUUACCAGCUUUUGUUCGGAGAAUUACACUCUUGAAUUCCCAUCAUUGGAACAAGUUUCUAUGACACAUUGUCUGAACAUGAAGACUUUUUCUCAGGGAAUCUUAUCCACACCAAAGCUAUGCAAAGUGCAAGUGAGUAAAAGGAAGUAUUAAGUUUUAUAUGAAACUGUGAUGUUGUUUGGUUACUAAGAAAAUAGGAGGAAAGAAAACUUCUGUAAGCUGAGAAUUCUGUUAUUAUUGAUCUAAUGAAUCUGGAAAUUACAAGCCUUUUUAUAUGUGCAUAGAAGAUUCUACACACAUUGCACACACGCACAGGUUACUACUAACAACCUCUAUAACAACCUUUAGCUGACUCAGCUGCCAUGUCAGCAUACUCAUUAACUAACUAAUUCUAUUCUUAACAGGAAGAGGGUGAAUUGCGCCGUUGGGAAGGCAACCUUAAUUCCACUAUACAAAAGUGUUACGAAGAAAUGGUAUGUGUUAAAUCGAUUCGUCGAAAUUACUUAUGCAUCUCCCUUGCACUUGCACAUUUGAACAUAUAAGUUUAAUGUAUAUAUAUAUCUAUGCCUUUCAAAAAGAAAAAAUUGUAUAUAUCCAGUGCAAUUGUUUUGGUUUGUGCAGAUUGGAUUUCGUGACAUAAUACAUUUGCAACUCUCGCAUUUUCCACGUUUGAAAGAAAUAUGGCAUGGCCAAGCACUGCCUGUCAGCUUCUUCAACAAUUUAUUCGACCUGGUGGUGGAUGACUGCACGAAUAUGUCGAGUGCUAUUCCUGCUAAUCUGCUACGGUGCUUGAACAAUUUGGUAUACCUGGAAGUGAGGAAUUGUGAUUCACUUGAAGAGGUGCUUCAUUUGGAAGAGCUAAUUAAUGCUGACAAAGAACAUAUAGGCCCCCUGUUUCCUAAGCUUUUCAAGCUAGGGCUCACUGACCUUCCAAAACUCAAAAGAUUUUUCAACUUCACUAGGAAUAUAAUUGAACUGCCUAAGUUGAGAUAUCUAACUAUUGAGAAUUGCCCUGAUAUGGAAACAUUCAUAUCCAAUUCUACAUCUGUACUGCACAUGACAGCAGAUAAUAAGGAAGCUCAAAAAUUAAAAUCAGAAAAGAACCUCUUGGUAGCUGAUCAAAUACAACAUCUCUUCAAUGAAAAGGUAAUCAUUAUUAUUAUUUUUCCCUUCACUUUCUUUCGCACAGUUGUAAUUUCAUUAGAAUCAAAUCAAAUUUAAUGACUCAUCUUUUUACAUGUCGUCUUAAUUUAUAUCUGAUUUAACAAUAUAACCGCAAUUAUUAACUAACUUUAUAGUAUGAAUUAUAAAAGUGUCUGAAAUUAAUUGGAUGCCUGGUAACACGAGGUGAUGAACUAUAUUAAUUAUGUGUGUAACAUCUCUGUUUUCCUAGCUAAUUCAUAUUAGAUUUAGCAUCAGAUUUCAUUUAUGUGUUUCAAAGGGUAAUCGAUUUGAUACUUAUAUUUGGGAUCCUACUGCAAAGCAUACUAAUUUGGAAAAAAAAAUAUAAAAUGCUGUGAUUAAUCUUGUCCAUAAAAUAUGCAGGGGAAGACUGCAGAGAUUGGAUACAUAUUUUCAUUUACAACUUAAUUUUGUUGAUUUUUAGGUUGCAUUCCCUCAAUUGAUAGAGUUAAAGUAUCUGGAUUACACAAAGUGCAGCAUCUCUGGAAGGAAAAUGACGAAUCCAGCAAAGCGUUUGCAAACUUGGGAAGUCUAGAAAUAUCGGAAUGUAGUAAGUUGCAAAAAUUAGUACCACCUUCGUGGCAUUUGGAAAAUCUGUGGGAACUAGAAGUAUCGAAGUGUCACGGGUUGAUAAAUGUGUUGACGCUCUCAACAUCUAAAACUCUAGUGAAUCUCGAAAGAAUGAAGAUAGCUGAUUGCAAAAUGAUAGAAGAAAUCAUACAAUCGCAGGUUGGAGAAGAAGCGGAAGAUUGCAUUGUUUUCAGGAAAUUGGAGUACUUGGGACUUGAUUGUUUGCCAAGCCUAACAAGCUUUUGUUUGGGUAAUUACGCUCUUGAGUUCCCGUCCUUGGAACACGUAGUUGUGAGACAGUGCCCAACAAUGAAGAUUUUCUCUCAAGGAGUCGUAGACGCACCGAAGCUAAACAAAGUGAAACCCACCGAAGAAGAAGAUGGUGAUGACGAAGGAUGUUGGGAAGGAAACCUCAAUGACACCAUAAAAAAAUUGUUCAAUGAAAUGGUGAGUAUCAAUGAAGUGUUGGCACUAUCUAGCAAAUUAUUUCUAUAGCUAUUAACGUGGCAUAAUAUGAUUGCUUGAUUGAAAAUAUAAAAUAAUAAUAAAUAAAUUAUGAGGGUUAUGUUAUGUUUUUGUUUAAUCAAUCAUAUUACGUCAUAUUAGUUUGUACAAUAUUAUUUGUGCACAAAAGAAAUGGUAUGUGUUAAAUCGAUUCGUCGAAAUUACUUAUGCAUCUCCCUUGCACUUGCACAUUUGAACAUAUAAGUUUAAUGUAUAUAUAUAUCUAUGCCUUUCAAAAAGAAAAAAUUGUAUAUAUCCAGUGCAAUUGUUUUGGUUUGUGCAGAUUGGAUUUCGUGACAUAAUACAUUUGCAACUCUCGCAUUUUCCACGUUUGAAAGAAAUAUGGCAUGGCCAAGCACUGCCUGUCAGCUUCUUCAACAAUUUAUUCGACCUGGUGGUGGAUGACUGCACGAAUAUGUCGAGUGCUAUUCCUGCUAAUCUGCUACGGUGCUUGAACAAUUUGGUAUACCUGGAAGUGAGGAAUUGUGAUUCACUUGAAGAGGUGCUUCAUUUGGAAGAGCUAAUUAAUGCUGACAAAGAACAUAUAGGCCCCCUGUUUCCUAAGCUUUUCAAGCUAGGGCUCACUGACCUUCCAAAACUCAAAAGAUUUUUCAACUUCACUAGGAAUAUAAUUGAACUGCCUAAGUUGAGAUAUCUAACUAUUGAGAAUUGCCCUGAUAUGGAAACAUUCAUAUCCAAUUCUACAUCUGUACUGCACAUGACAGCAGAUAAUAAGGAAGCUCAAAAAUUAAAAUCAGAAAAGAACCUCUUGGUAGCUGAUCAAAUACAACAUCUCUUCAAUGAAAAGGUAAUCAUUAUUAUUAUUUUUCCCUUCACUUUCUUUCGCACAGUUGUAAUUUCAUUAGAAUCAAAUCAAAUUUAAUGACUCAUCUUUUUACAUGUCGUCUUAAUUUAUAUCUGAUUUAACAAUAUAACCGCAAUUAUUAACUAACUUUAUAGUAUGAAUUAUAAAAGUGUCUGAAAUUAAUUGGAUGCCUGGUAACACGAGGUGAUGAACUAUAUUAAUUAUGUGUGUAACAUCUCUGUUUUCCUAGCUAAUUCAUAUUAGAUUUAGCAUCAGAUUUCAUUUAUGUGUUUCAAAGGGUAAUCGAUUUGAUACUUAUAUUUGGGAUCCUACUGCAAAGCAUACUAAUUUGGAAAAAAAAAUAUAAAAUGCUGUGAUUAAUCUUGUCCAUAAAAUAUGCAGGGGAAGACUGCAGAGAUUGGAUACAUAUUUUCAUUUACAACUUAAUUUUGUUGAUUUUUAGGUUGCAUUCCCUCAAUUGAUAGAGUUAAAGUAUCUGGAUUACACAAAGUGCAGCAUCUCUGGAAGGAAAAUGACGAAUCCAGCAAAGCGUUUGCAAACUUGGGAAGUCUAGAAAUAUCGGAAUGUAGUAAGUUGCAAAAAUUAGUACCACCUUCGUGGCAUUUGGAAAAUCUGUGGGAACUAGAAGUAUCGAAGUGUCACGGGUUGAUAAAUGUGUUGACGCUCUCAACAUCUAAAACUCUAGUGAAUCUCGAAAGAAUGAAGAUAGCUGAUUGCAAAAUGAUAGAAGAAAUCAUACAAUCGCAGGUUGGAGAAGAAGCGGAAGAUUGCAUUGUUUUCAGGAAAUUGGAGUACUUGGGACUUGAUUGUUUGCCAAGCCUAACAAGCUUUUGUUUGGGUAAUUACGCUCUUGAGUUCCCGUCCUUGGAACACGUAGUUGUGAGACAGUGCCCAACAAUGAAGAUUUUCUCUCAAGGAGUCGUAGACGCACCGAAGCUAAACAAAGUGAAACCCACCGAAGAAGAAGAUGGUGAUGACGAAGGAUGUUGGGAAGGAAACCUCAAUGACACCAUAAAAAAAUUGUUCAAUGAAAUGGUGAGUAUCAAUGAAGUGUUGCACUAUCUAGCAAAUUAUUUCUAUAGCUAUUAACGUGGCAUAAUAUGAUUGCUUGAUUGAAAAUAUAAAAUAAUAAUAAAUAAAUUAUGAGGGUUAUGUUAUGUUUUUGUUUAAUCAAUCAUAUUACAUCAUAUUAGUUUGUACAAUAUUAUUUGUGCACAAAAGAUUGUGGUCGUAUCAUUAC
Molecule: long non-coding RNA, 7265 nt
Filed under: Citrus sinensis (sweet orange)
Lineage: Eukaryota; Viridiplantae; Streptophyta; Magnoliopsida; Sapindales; Rutaceae
Description: long non-coding RNA (CSIN_LNC005504)
Source: RNAcentral